UUAAAUAGUUUAAAAAGUAACUGGAGAUAAUAAUAACUUGCUAAAUACUUUUUGUAGUAUGAUUAACAGCGAAGCACGUCUGUUAGGUAUAGAAUUUAAUUCUCUGCCAGACCUAAUCCAGACCUGAUCCUCCCAUUUAUAGGAUACUUUGUUUUUUUACACGGUUUUAAAAUUAACUGGAGAUAAUAAUAACUUCUCUCGUACUUUUUAUGCUAUAUCUAGCAGCGAAGUAUAUUAAUUAAUUCUGUGACUUUCCGAGGUAAACUCAUUAUUUAUAAAGGCCAAACGGCCAGUCGAUGUUUCUACGUAAAUUAGAGUAACGAAAAAGUAAAGAAAUAAUAAGUGAUUAAAUACGAAGGUAUAGAAAUUAAUUUCUACGCGUAACGAAUCAGUUCCAAAGGGUUCGUUAGGGUUCCUAGUUUCUAGUUCGACAUAAUUCCGUGAUCAACUGUGUCUCCUACCAUCGACUACGUGAUUUCGUUCGCUCCAUCGGUCGCAUAAAUUUCUACGCGAAACACGUACGCGCCGUGUAACUUUCGCGAUAUCCUUUAAUCAGUGUCGAGGACACGGUUUCAUCGACGGACGCAUGGUAAAACAAAUAAAAGACUUUCUUACGGCGUUCGAGGGUCGAAAAUGUAGAAAUUUUUCGGACGAAAGAAACUUUCAAUCACGAAUCACGGCGCGACUCGUCGAAGGCGAUUGGAUUUCCGGCGACGGUUUAAACUUUAAACGUCAGCCUUGGCUCGAAUUCAUUAGUCGGCCAAUUACCGGCACGCUUCCAAUGCUCGCGGAGAACAGGAGCGUAUGCGAGCGAACGGACGAGCCACCUGACAACUUUCCGUCUAAUGUCAACGUAUACUUUGCGCGUCAAACCUAUUCGAAACGUUCUUCUCGCUCACCUACGUCAACGAAAGCGCCGUCUGGCUACGCUAUCUUAUUAGGCGAAGCGAGAUAUCUUGCGCAAUAAAUGUAAGAAAACUCAGGUAUUAGGAUAACGCGCGCGCAUUACAGCUUCUGUAACAAGUGAAACGUGAUAUAUUAUAUGUAGCGCUAAAUUCCGCGCUUUUACGUUCAAACAUUUAUAACUAGACUGCGGAUCUUUAGGCAAAAUUAAAUCUUCGCGAACGUGGCUACAAAAAUUGAACCUAAAUAGGUAUUUAUUUUAGUCCGUAAAUAUUAUAAACGUGAACUUUACAAUCAAUCUUUUUUUUAUUUUUGCAUAUUGUUUGCAUUCUGUAGCUUCUUGCACGUUGAAAUUUCCUAUAAAUGCAUAUCCGCAGUCUAUUUAUAACUGUGGUUCAAUUAAACAAAUUUACUGGACCUUCUCGAGACCUCGCUUCAGAUAAAUAUACAAAAAUCUGCAAUGAACGCGUGCAAAUGCAUAAAUAUGUUAAACGUAAAAGAUAUAAUAAGCUGUGCGACGAAGGAAAGAUUGAAAGUUGUAUGGGCUUUCCUUUAUAAAUAAAGGCGCAGAGAUAGCGUCUACAUCUAAUAUCAAACACACGGAUCUUUCACUUUAUCUUUGAGGUUAUGUCAGCUGAUACGACGUAUCGUUAAAUCUAAUCGCCAGGCAAUCUGGCAGGCAACUCGGUCGUGUUGGGUUUGUUUUACCGCCAAUUUCUCGCUUCUUAGACACGGCAGAAACGAAUGGGACAGAUUACAUGGACGUAGGAGUUAUUAAAAGGUUUCUAAUUCAAUUAUAAAUACGAGAAACGUACAGAAAUGCGCGGAACGCGGGAUGUUAUUAUACCUAACCUCAAAGCUACCUAUCGCGACUAAUUAAACAGCAACUAAACGGAACAAUUUGGAAAAAUGAUUGAAGACGAAACGCGCGUGUCAUAUACAAAAUGUACGUCCGAAGAAUUCAUACGGCAAUGAAGGGAGAGAUCAACAAGGCUCUACGCGGACAGGAAGCGACAGACACAAUAAACUGUAUCGACAGCACAACGUGACAGAUUAAUGCGAGUUAGGUCGCCGAGAUAAAAUUGCGGGCACGUCGAUGGUACGUCUCUCAAAGUAGACAGCAAAAGUGAAGAAUUCGUUUCGUGCUUUGUAUUUUAACCAACCGGAUUUAGCUAAGUGAUCGCAGAGACGGAAUCACAGGGUAAACACACCGCGACUGACACGUUCACUUGUGUGUUAUCAAACUUGCAACGUUUACACUAAAUGAAUCAGUACUUCGUGUACUACAAUAUAGAUGGACGGUUAAUAACACAGUCAAUGGGUUUCAGGGGAUGUACACUGGAAUUGGAAAGCCUAUAAAUAGAUUCCGGAUAGGUUGUCUGGAAAGUCCAUGGCGAUUUUUAGUAGGCGGUACACGUCUGAAUAUAUCGGUACGGUUGAAAACAAAUAACAUGUGGACAUUCGUUAAAAGGUGAUAAAAAUUGCGAUACAGAAUGGUACAUAUAUAAUUCAAUAAAUAUAUAUCGAAAUUCAAACGUGUCUUUAAAUAUUUCUUAAAAAUUGGCACGAACAUUCUGGACAACCCAAUAGAUUCUUUAAAGCUUUCAAAUCGAGUCUACAAUGAAAUAGUUUAAGAAUAACUUGCAAUGCCAGGGGGUUUGUCCCAAAGUACCUCUACUUUUCAAAACUCGGUAUUCGAACGAGCCUGGUUUUCGGAGUAAGAGUGAACAUUCCGCGGAACAAUAUGAAAUAAUAGGCGCAUCGUCGAACAAUCGCGUGCUUUUAUUUUUCGGUGAUACGGAUUGGAGAGAGUUUCGGGAACGAUAGAAAAAAAAAAAACGGCAAAAGCGUGUAGAGCGUGGAUCGUAGACAGCGGUGAGACGAAGAAAACUCGCGGCGGUAGUGAACGUGUUAAACAGGGAAAUCGCCAUGGAUCGAGAAAGAAGGAGUAUUUGUCCGUCGUAAGACCACGGGGACGAGGGCGAAGAGAGGCCAGUGUGGCCAAGCCGGCUGGCUGUGUUUGCCGGGGCCCCUCUCACCCGACGGAGAGUAAAAGAGAGAGAGAGCAGCUGCGCCACCGAGAAAACUAACCGAACGGCCCUAACUGCCGCCGCCCGUCGCUCGUUACCCUUGCGUUUGCACACGCUUCGAUUCCACGAGAACCGCGUAUCAAGCGUAAUUUAAACGGUGAUUCGGUUCGAUGGGAAUCGACGGAAGACGCCGAGCGCGAGAGGCAGACCGAACGGUGCCGUCGAAUCACCCAUUUCGAACGUGAAAAUAAGCGAUACGCGCGUGGACACCGUUCACGCACGAUCAUCGACUGGCUGCCGUCGGUAGCCAUUUUAAUCGACAUACUU
This is a long non-coding RNA of Hylaeus anthracinus, 3260 nucleotides long. RefSeq lists it as uncharacterized. The transcript is spliced from 3 exons. The record is from RefSeq and is a predicted model, not a curated record. NCBI's taxonomy places the organism in Eukaryota, Metazoa, Arthropoda, Insecta, Hymenoptera, Colletidae.